This 424-nucleotide ribosomal RNA is filed under the name uncultured bacterium. Its description in RNAcentral is "bacterial SSU rRNA". It matches the Rfam family "Bacterial small subunit ribosomal RNA", at positions 355 to 796 of the family's 1533-position model. The record is from RNAcentral.
UGGGGAAUAUUGGACAAUGGGGGCAACCCUGAUCCAGCAAUGCCGCGUGAGUGAUGAAGGCCUUCGGGUUGUAAAGCUCUUUCGCCCACGACGAUGGUGACGGUAGUGGGAGAAGAAGCCCCGGCUAACUUCGUGCCAGCAGCCGCGGUAAUACGAAGGGGGCUAGCGUUGUUCGGAGUUACUGGGCGUAAAGGGCGCGUAGGCGGCCCUCCAAGUCGGGUGUGAAAGCCCACGGCUCAACCGUGGAAUUGCACUCGAGACUGAAGGGCUCGAGGACGGGAGAGGAUGGUGGAAUUCCCAGUGUAGAGGUGAAAUUCGUAGAUAUUGGGAAGAACACCGGUGGCGAAGGCGGCCAUCUGGACCGUAUCUGACGCUGAGGCGCGAAAGCGUGGGGAGCAAACAGGAUUAGAUACCCCCGUAGUCC